UAGGAGAGUAUUUAGCAAAUUCAAUCUCUUGUCCGUUUUGUCACUUAAAAUGUGGUUAGAAAGUCCUUAUGGAAGAUACUAGUGGCUUUUUCUUGACCGUGUGGUUUUGUAUGGCGGUGAGGGGUGGUGUUUUUUUCCAAGUGGUCCUUCUAUAGUCAUGAGACUUCCUGUAAUGGUCUCCUCUCCUUGCCUAUGUUAUUGAUUAUGUGGUUUGGUUCUUGUGGGAUGAGAGCUUCGCUUCGUGGAUCUGUGGCGGCAUGAAAUGGCGCAUAUGGAUGGUACGAUGGUAGCAUAUGUUAAAUCCCAUUUAAUUGAUGGGUCUACAUGGACAUGGUGGAUCUGUUUUUGUGGAGAUUUUUGGGAGUGUUUCACUUUAUGACAUUUUUCUUUCUUCUGACUCUGAAAUAAUAUUCAUCUGCCUACAAAAAUUCUUUUUAUCCUAAUUUCUAAAUCACAAUUACAAAUCUUCAAUAGUUUUCUAUAAAAAUGAAAACUUUUCAAAUAACAGU
Molecule: long non-coding RNA, 509 nt
Filed under: Brassica napus (rape)
Lineage: Eukaryota; Viridiplantae; Streptophyta; Magnoliopsida; Brassicales; Brassicaceae
Description: long non-coding RNA (BNAP_LNC025087)
Source: RNAcentral